AUACGGAGGAUCCGAGCGUUAUCCGGAUUUAUUGGGUUUAAAGGGUGCGUAGGCGGAAUAAUAAGUCAGUUGUGAAAGUUUGCGGCUCAACCGUAAAAUUGCAGUUGAUACUGUUAUUCUUGAGUGUACAUAAGGUAGGCGGAAUUCGUGGUGUAGCGGUGAAAUGCUUAGAUAUCACGAAGAACUCCAAUUGCGAAGGCAGCUUACCGGGGUACAACUGACGCUGAGGCACGAAAGUGUGGGUAUCAAACAGGAUGAGAUACCCUGGUAGUCCACACAGUAAACGAUGAAUACUCGCUGUGUGCGAUAUACCGCAAGCGGCCAAGCGAAAGCAUUAAGUAUUCCGCCUGGGGAGUACGCCGGCAACGGUGAA
RNAcentral lists this ribosomal RNA (373 nucleotides) under uncultured bacterium. RNAcentral's name for it is "bacterial SSU rRNA". It matches the Rfam family "Bacterial small subunit ribosomal RNA", at positions 523 to 898 of the family's 1533-position model. The record is from RNAcentral.